AGCGAACGCUGGCGGCAGGCUUAACACAUGCAAGUCGAGCGGGCACUUUCGGGUGUCCGCGGCGGACGGGUGAGUAACGCGUGGGAACGUGCCCUCUGGUUCGGAAUAACUCAGGGAAACUUGAGCUAAUACCGGAUACGCCCUUUUGGGGAAAGGCUUGCUGCCGGAGGAUCGGCCCGCGUCUGAUUAGCUAGUUGGUGAGGUAACGGCUCACCAAGGCGGCGAUCAGUAGCUGGUCUGAGAGGAUGAUCAGCCACACUGGGACUGAGACACGGCCCAGACUCCUACGGGAGGCAGCAGUGGGGAAUAUUGGACAAUGGGCGCAAGCCUGAUCCAGCCAUGCCGCGUGAGUGAUGAAGGCCUUAGGGUUGUAAAGCUCUUUUAUCCGGGACGAUAAUGACGGUACCGGAGGAAUAAGCCCCGGCUAACUUCGUG
RNAcentral lists this ribosomal RNA (435 nucleotides) under uncultured bacterium. RNAcentral's name for it is "partial 16S ribosomal RNA". It matches the Rfam family "Bacterial small subunit ribosomal RNA", at positions 29 to 507 of the family's 1533-position model. The record is from RNAcentral.